UACGUAGGGACCAAGCGUUGUUCGGAUUUACUGGGCGUAAAGGGCGCGUAGGCGGCGCGGUAAGUCACUUGUGAAAUCUCUGAGCUUAACUCAGAACGGCCAAGUGAUACUGCAGUGCUAGAGUGUGGAAGGGGCAAUCGGAAUUCUUGGUGUAGCGGUGAAAUGCGUAGAUAUCAAGAGGAACACCAAUGGCGAAGGCAGCUCGCUGGAACGGUACUGACGCUGAGGCGCGAAAGCGUGGGGAGCAAACAGG
RNAcentral lists this ribosomal RNA (253 nucleotides) under uncultured bacterium. Its description in RNAcentral is "partial 16S ribosomal RNA". It matches the Rfam family "Bacterial small subunit ribosomal RNA", at positions 524 to 776 of the family's 1533-position model. The record is from RNAcentral.